Molecule: long non-coding RNA, 1707 nt
Organism: Anas platyrhynchos (mallard)
Lineage: Eukaryota; Metazoa; Chordata; Aves; Anseriformes; Anatidae
Source: RefSeq, a predicted model, not a curated record
CCCCCCCACACUCCCCCCUCUUUUUGGGUUCGCGAAGUGCCCGGGGAUGGAUGGAGGGGUGAAGGGUCGGAGGGUCCCGCACACCUUCCCCAGAAUGAAAGGAGGGGGGAGCAACUUUGGGAGAAGCAGGAGCUGCUGCAUGUUCUCCCCACUGCACGCACACCCCAACGGUACCCAUCAGAUGCAGUGCCUGGGCUAGAAGCUAUUUGUGCCACACCAAGCUCACCUGCACAGCACACAUCCAUACCCAGCUCAGGACUCCAGUCCUUCUUCUGCAAAACGCACGCAGAGCUGCUGUUCCACAUUACCUCCAAACGAAGCUGCGAUUCCCAGCUCCCCAGACUCGCCUGUGUGCUACAUGGUGCCAACUCCAUGUGCCAUGAGGAGACAGAGGCAUCUCCACCCAGUGGCUGCCCGACUACCCAGAGAAGCCACCCAUGGUCGCACAGGUUGCUGUGGCCACCCCCGGUGAGGCAGCUCCGGUGAUCAGAAGUCAGGGUGCAGGCCCUGUGAGCACCCACAAACCCUCCUUUGGGUCAGAGCCCCUUCAGGGCACAGUCAGGAGGCUGGUGGUGGGGUGUCAGCUGGCUGCCAAGCAUUCCCCCCAGCCCUGGCAUGGGAGAUCGGCAAAGUCUUGAGUGUCUCUCAUUGCAGGAGGAAACCCCACAAUCCUCUUUCCACAAACACGUGUAAUAUCUGCUCAGUGCCUGCAUUGUUUAGCUCCGCAGCCUGCGUGGUGGUCUCACUCUGCAAAUUAUCCAGCGUUACAGGCUGAAUAAGCUCGGCCUGUGUCAAUCAGUGUAAUCACCUUUGCGACAGCCCUGCACACCCACGUGAGGUGGUGGCACUGCUCUGAGCUCAAACACAGCAAGGCCAAGGCCAAAUGAUGCGACGUGCUCUCACAAGGCCAAAGGAAGAGCAAGAGGCAUGCUGAAAAAUAAAUAAAUAAAUAAAUAUAUAAACAUAUGUGCCAGCUGAAGGCUUCUGCCCUCCGGCAGCCUGCUGUUGCUUCCCUGUCUAUGCCCGUACCAGCCCUGCCGGCUGCAGGGAUCACAUGAGAGCUGCUUAAUCCGUGUCAGGCGGAGCUGGCCAAGCGAGGUGAGGUGCCAGCAGGGUGAACAGGAGCUGUGCUGCCUGUGGUUAGCGUGGCAUAGAGGUGGCAGUCUCCAGCUGGUGAGCAUGGGCCUCUGGAACAGGGAGGUGCAACGAGGCUGGGGUGAAAAUUAUCAUCCCCCAGCCCAGAUGCAGGGCAUGGGGAGACACAUAAGGAAAAAACAGCUGAGAAUGUGUCAUCAUUGUGGCAAUACUUUAUAGUUCCUAUCAUCCAGGGACUGAUUCUGUUCCAGGUUGACUCUAGAGCUAUCCCAAACCCUACAUGAACUCAAAUGCUGGGAAGAAAGGGCUGGGUCAUUGCGUCUGUUGCUCUCCUACUAGAAACCAUCAUUUCACACAUCCUGCCAUAAGGCCUUCAAGGUGAGCAUUGGUGUCCUGUCCUCACCUCACCUUCUGGGAUAUUACCUUGGAGCUUCACCUCUCCGAAGGUCAGAAAGCACCUAAUUUCCAUCCUGAAUGUAUUCAAAGCGUUUGCCCACCCGUCUGCUCUGCAGCAGGUGUUAGGAUUUGACAGAACCAGCUCUUCUCACCCUUACACAUACCUCCCUGUUGUGUUGGCCCAUAUCAAGUUCAUUCCGUGAUAAAAUAAAGGUA